Molecule: transfer RNA, 65 nt
Filed under: Sphingobium yanoikuyae
Lineage: Bacteria; Pseudomonadati; Pseudomonadota; Alphaproteobacteria; Sphingomonadales; Sphingobiaceae
Description: tRNA-Gly
Rfam family: tRNA
About the family: Transfer RNA (tRNA) molecules are approximately 80 nucleotides in length. Their secondary structure includes four short double-helical elements and three loops (D, anti-codon, and T loops). Further hydrogen bonds mediate the characteristic L-shaped molecular structure. tRNAs have two regions of fundamental functional importance: the anti-codon, which is responsible for specific mRNA codon recognition, and the 3' end, to which the tRNAs corresponding amino acid is attached (by aminoacyl-tRNA synthetases). tRNAs cope with the degeneracy of the genetic code in two manners: having more than one tRNA (with a specific anti-codon) for a particular amino acid; and 'wobble' base-pairing, i.e. permitting non-standard base-pairing at the 3rd anti-codon position.
Source: RNAcentral
GCGGGUAUAGCUCAAUGGUAGAGCACUAGCCUUCCAAGCUAGCUAAAAUCACGCAUUUCUCCACA